AUGGCGUCGUUAGCCCUCAGGCCCAUCAUGCCAGCAGCCGCCGCGGCCGCUUCCACGACCACAUCUCUCAACCGCGCCCGCCGCGGCAGCUCUACCCUUCUCCGUCGCCGGCAGCCAGUCACGUGCAUGGCCGAGAGCAGCGGCGGCGGCAACAGCACCGUGGAGCUGGCCGCCGGGGCGGCGGGGCUGGCGUCGUGCGCGACGGUGGCGUGGUCCCUCUACACCCUCAAGGCGACGGGCUGCGGCCUGCCCCCGGGCCCCGGCGGCUCGCUGGGCGCGGCGGAGGGCGUCAGCUACCUCGUGGUGGCGGGCCUCGUCGGCUGGUCGCUCACCACCAAGGUGCGCACCGGGUCGGGCCUCCCGGCCGGGCCCUACGGCCUCCUCGGCGCCGCCGAGGGCGUCGCGUACCUCACCGUCGUCGCCAUCGCCGCCGUGUUCGGGCUGCAGUUCUUCCAGCAGGGGUCGCUCCCGGGCCCGUUGCCGUCGGAGCAGUGCUUUGGGUAG
RNAcentral lists this ribosomal RNA (504 nucleotides) under Triticum aestivum (bread wheat). RNAcentral's name for it is "partial small subunit ribosomal RNA". The record is from RNAcentral. Lineage: Eukaryota; Viridiplantae; Streptophyta; Magnoliopsida; Poales; Poaceae.